CGACUACGUUACGACUACGGU
Molecule: small nuclear RNA, 21 nt
Filed under: Arabidopsis thaliana (thale cress)
Lineage: Eukaryota; Viridiplantae; Streptophyta; Magnoliopsida; Brassicales; Brassicaceae
Description: snRNA_14389
Source: RNAcentral